Cannabis sativa is the source of this 790-nucleotide long non-coding RNA. RefSeq lists it as uncharacterized. The record is from RefSeq and is a predicted model, not a curated record. Lineage: Eukaryota; Viridiplantae; Streptophyta; Magnoliopsida; Rosales; Cannabaceae. The transcript has 2 exons.
AAAUACAUCAAAAUAUCAUAUUUUAUGUAAAUAAAAUUUUAAAAAUUGUAUAAAUACAUAAUAAUUUUUUUUGUGAGGAAAUUGCACUCUAUACCCUUUGUAUAUUGUCUUCUUUUUUAAAGUCUAUCAUUUUUACCUCUUUUUCUAAACAUUGUACCAAUUUUGCCCAUGUCACUUUAAGAUACUCUCCAUGUGACUCUCUUAUUUCAGGGUAUUGUGGGUACAAUACAUAUAAAAAGAGGUAUGUUUCAAUUAAAUAUAAAAUUAGAGGUAAAUUUAAUCAAUUGACUAAUAAAAGUGGUAUUUUUCAACUUACCCGAAAAAUAAUUCCUUCAUCUUCAAUGGCUAGCGAAUAGGCCCAUAUUAAAGGCCCAACAAUAACAAGAACAAACCCCUAAAAACACUACAGUUUUUACCCCUCUCUCUCUCUCUCUCUCUCUCUCUCUCUCUCUCUCUCUCUCUCUUGUUCAUCUUCUCUCUCUCACUCUUCUUCUCAACCCUUUCCACCGCCGAGUGCCGAUCCCUCGCUUAACGGCACCGCCUCUAACUCUAUCUCUCUCACGCAGAUCAGGAUGGGCUAUUAUGAUUACUUGAAUGUUAAAAUGCAUUCUUCAUGCAAAAUAAUAAAAUUGUUGUAGCUAUAUUUUUGGUUAAAAAAGACCAUGCAAGUUGGUCUUAGCAUAUUCUUUUUAUUUUACUCUGGUAUAUGUUUUGUAUUAUCAAUUUCUUACAUUAAAACAAAAUCUUCAUUUAAGAAAGAUGCUUGAAGGAUGGAUUAUUUUGUUGUGAA